CAAGAAAAUGAUUUUGAAUCAAUGAGUUUCUCGGACGAAGAAGACCGCAAUACGUGCAUAAUUGCUCUGAAAAUAGAAGUGAAAGAGCGUUUGUUGAAUGCGUGACCGUUAGGAUUUGUAUUAAAUUCUAGAGAAAUUUUCAGGAAAUAGGA
Molecule: ribosomal RNA, 152 nt
Filed under: Entamoeba invadens
Lineage: Eukaryota; Evosea; Mastigamoebida; Endamoebidae
Description: 5.8S ribosomal RNA
Source: RNAcentral